GCGCAGCCAUCUUGGAGCCGGGCGAUGGCGUCAUCAGGGCGGAAGUGUGGCGUGGAGGGAACCGGUGUUGUCACGUCUGUGACUCUCAGGUGUUCCCUUGAUCUGGCUUCCCAGGCUCCUGUCAAGUUAUGGCACAGCUGAUGGGCAGUCUUCCCACCUGCAGGACCCACCGAGGCAUCCCCGCCCCGGGCAGCAGGAUGUGGUCGCAGAGGUUCUUGCUGCCUUUGAGAGACGGUCUCCUGACCCUUCUUUUCUGUUGGCUCACGGCUUCUUCCAGACCCUCCACCUGUGUGCACCUCUUCGCCCCGUGGCCUCCCCAGCCGAGGAAUCUGCUUAGCAUUUAAAGCAGAAACAGAACCAGCCCUGCCCCCCAGAAAUUGAACUUUUUGUUGUUUGUCUUCAGAAAAGCAAACCAGGUGUUGAGUUGGGCUCAUCUGGAUUGCUUCAGCCAUGGGUGAACAGCCAGACCUUCCCAUUUCAAUAUCCACACGCCUCAUUUCUCCCUCCCUAGUGAGGGUCAGAGGUGCUUUGGUUGUGCAUGACACAGGCUACCUCAUUUCACUGCUGGAGAGCUCAGAGCUCGCUGUGUCAGAAACAGAGGGAGAAGAAUUGUGUGAGUGUGAAGACCAGCGGGGAGAUGGAGGCCACUUGAUGAAGAGCCUUGAGCCCACCCCUUAAAGGAACAAGGCACGUUUCUCCCUAGGCUCCGACAGCUGGCUCCUUCAGCUUCAGCCCUGGUUAUUGAGAUGCAAAUGUGUGCCCGCGGGGAGUGCAGCUGCUGGCUGGCGCUGAGGCCCUCGCCCCAGGUGCAGCCCUACCGAGCCAGCGCCAGCGGGGGCAGUGCCGCAGAUGACCCUCCCAGGACAAAUGGAACCGUGGACCCCGUGCAGGAGGAAAGGCAGGUCAACAGUGUAUCCAGCACUGGGGGGCCAGGAUGAGCCCCCCGCCAGCCCGUGUGUGACCAGGAGCAGCCUGGAGUCCAGCAGAGGCAGAAGAGGGGGCCCUGAGAGAGGGCCCCCGGUCCUGCUUGCUCUCCUGGGCGCCGUUGCCACUGCUGUCUGCGGGGACCUGGAUGGAGCGGGGCUGGGCCUGGCUAUCCCAGUUCACCUGUCAGCUUUGUCACCUGCCGGGCCAGGGAUUUCGGGCAAGUGACUGAGCCCCCCGGAGGCUAUCUUCCUGGGCAAGGUGGGAUGGCGACAGUGCUGCAGCCUCGCUCUGGCCUCAGCAAAGAUUCUGUGGACACUGGCUGCCCCAGCGUUGGCCACGCAUGCCUCGGCCCCUCUGGUGGAAGCGCUCUGAGAAGCUGGCUGUGAGGCCCAGCCCUGGGCACCCACAGAUCCUUGUGCAAGGGCCGUGCUGGGAGCCUGGGAAGGUUCCCCACGGGCUGUGCCCCAGCACAGGAUUCCUGGGCCUUGCCGUGUCAGCGGGGCCUCCCCACCGAGGGCCUCACCUGGAAG
Long non-coding RNA from Balaenoptera acutorostrata (minke whale), 1457 nucleotides. RefSeq lists it as uncharacterized. The transcript is spliced from 5 exons. NCBI's taxonomy places the organism in Eukaryota, Metazoa, Chordata, Mammalia, Artiodactyla, Balaenopteridae. The record is from RefSeq and is a predicted model, not a curated record.